Molecule: long non-coding RNA, 331 nt
Filed under: Elaeis guineensis (African oil palm)
Lineage: Eukaryota; Viridiplantae; Streptophyta; Magnoliopsida; Arecales; Arecaceae
Description: long non-coding RNA (EGUI_LNC032953)
Source: RNAcentral
AUCAUGAAUCCCAAUUAGAUGGCAGGUCGUGGAUAAAUCGUCAAACCUCAUCAUCAGUCAUAUGAUAGAUUCAAUUAGCUUAGGUCCAAUUGAGAUUAUCAUGAAAAUUCUUUUCCAUCCAUCAUAAUGCUGUGAUCACAGACUUUCGAACUUAGUCUCUUAAAUCUCAUAAAAUUACUCCUCUCUAUCAAGACCAACAUAUUCCAUCUAGAUAUAUACCCUACUCCUGUAGUGGAUCAACUGUCGUCAGCAUCUACUAUAAGGACUCAUUGAAAUUAUGUUUAUAUGUCAGUCAAACUCCAGCAACCUCACUGCGAGCAGUCAUACUAUC